Thalassophryne amazonica is the source of this 244-nucleotide long non-coding RNA. RefSeq lists it as uncharacterized. The record is from RefSeq and is a predicted model, not a curated record. The transcript has 3 exons. Lineage: Eukaryota; Metazoa; Chordata; Actinopteri; Batrachoidiformes; Batrachoididae.
AAUGGCAUUCUUCAGGGAUGUGUUCUGGGUCCUACACUGUUCAGUGCUUGCAUGGACUUCUUGUUGGGUCAGGUUGUAGAAACCAGCAACUUAGGUGCUUUUGUUGGUGAGGAAAGUUGGUUGACCUUGACUUUGGGGACAGUGCUCUGAUCUUAGUGGAAUCAAUGGACACCCUGACUGUAGUGCUUGAGAAGCUGAGUUGAGGAAUCAGACUGUCUGGGUUUGUACUUUGUACUGCUGGGGG